RNA transcript from Pungitius pungitius (ninespine stickleback), 271 nucleotides. RefSeq lists it as uncharacterized. The record is from RefSeq and is a predicted model, not a curated record. NCBI's taxonomy places the organism in Eukaryota, Metazoa, Chordata, Actinopteri, Perciformes, Gasterosteidae. The transcript has 3 exons.
UGGAUUUGAGGGUCUGGUCCAACCGCUCGAGUGCUCCCUGGCUUUCCGGAUGAUACGCACUCGAGACCUGGCGAGCCAGCCGGUACUCCUGGAUCCAACAGAGGAACGAGGCGAAAGGUCGGCCCUAGGGGAGACAGGACACAAACCAAAACAAACACCCCCAAAACGUAAUUGCUGAUGCCAACUGGAAAGUUGCUUUUGACGUGCCAGUUGGGACAUUCAAGAGGCCGGACCUGGACAAGGAGAUGAUUGCUGAGGGCUUCACGUCAGG